Molecule: ribosomal RNA, 253 nt
Filed under: uncultured bacterium
Lineage: Bacteria
Description: partial 16S ribosomal RNA
Rfam family: Bacterial small subunit ribosomal RNA
Source: RNAcentral
UACGGAGGGGACUAGCGUUGUUUGGAAUUACUGGGCGUAAAGCGCACGUAGGCGGAUUGUUAAGUCAGGGGUGAAAUCCCGAGGCUCAACCUCGGAACUGCCUUUGAUACUGGCAAUCUCGAGUCCGGAAGAGGUGAGUGGAAUUCCUAGUGUAGAGGUGAAAUUCGUAGAUAUUAGGAAGAACACCAGUGGCGAAGGCGGCUCACUGGCCCGAUACUGACGCUGAGGCACGAAAGCGUGGGGAGCAAACAGG